This 73-nucleotide transfer RNA is filed under the name Felis catus (domestic cat). It matches the Rfam family "tRNA". From Rfam's summary of the family: Transfer RNA (tRNA) molecules are approximately 80 nucleotides in length. Their secondary structure includes four short double-helical elements and three loops (D, anti-codon, and T loops). The record is from Rfam by way of RNAcentral. Lineage: Eukaryota; Metazoa; Chordata; Mammalia; Carnivora; Felidae. RNAcentral also lists the same sequence under 1 other name.
ACCUGGCUGGCUCAGUCGGUAGAGCAUGUGACUCUUAAUCUUGAAAUUGUAAGUUCAAGCCCCACGGUGGGUG